AAAGAAGAGAGCAUUACCUUAUUUAUAGACUUUGGGCAUUACUACCUAGCGGCUUAAAUGUGAAAGCUGAGAAGGCUGUGGCUAAUGUGAACUUACCAAAAGCUGCCCAGUUAUGCUUACAACCUCACUAAUGAGUUGAGUUCAACAUUUCUGAGGUUACUUUUGCCAGAAGGAUUCUAAGACAGUCUUGGUUGACCACUGGGGUGCUAGGAUGGCGACAUCAUUUUGGAUAUUUUAACCACUGAGUUUUCCUCUCUGACUCUGUUACGUGGAGACUGGGCUGCACAAGUGAAACAGGUGUGUCUCCUGAUUAACCCUCUUCUGGAGAUCUCACGUCUAUGGAUGCAGCCUGGGAGAGCACGAGGGGUUUCUGAAGCCAUGUCACCCUGAUGACUCGGGUGGAGUUCUUGCCCCCCAGCCCUCCAUCCCUACCCCAGAAAUCUAUCAUGUAACUCCUGCUGCUAGCGAACGCCCUUUCUCUCCCAUCCUCGUGCUAUACUUUCUUAGCCCCAAGGAAAAAAGGUUGUGGAUACCUGUUGGAUUUCAUUUUGUUCAGUUUGCCCUCAGCCUGUCAAUUGUGCUAUCAAAGAAGCUCUCCAGGUUUGUGUCAUUCCAGAAUUUGAUAUACGUAUUGGGUAGAUUUCCAUGGUGCUUCUGGGCAGAACAAGGACAAAUUGAGGGAUGGUACAAAACGCAGGUUUAACUUCAACGUAGGGAAAACUUGGAAAAAUCAGAAUGGUCUCAACAUGGAAUGGGUUUCCAUGGAGGGUAGUGAAUUCCUUGUCAGUGGAGAUGUUCCGAGUGUGGCUGCUUGAUCAAGGGGGGGGGGGGGUGGAGUCCCGUGGAUCUCGACCCUCCUGUCACAUUAGAAUCAUCUGGGGAGUUGUUUAAAGCUCCCUGUGCUUGCCCCUUUCCCUCCCUUAGUCUUCUUUAAUUGGUUCCACAUGGGAGCAGACAUCAGAUUUAAAGCUUAAAACUCCCCAGGUGAUUCCAAUGUGCCCCCAGAACUGAGAGAGUCUACUGUAGAAAAAAAAUUAAAGUUCAGAAAGUUGGGUCUGACAACCUAAAACUCUUCCUUUCAUCUUGGAAAUGAUAUUAUUUUAACUUCCUAUUUGGUAUCGAGUCGGUGCUUAGGUGCUUUUGGACGCUGACCUCCUUUUCCUCCCCAUGUUUUCUUUCAACUAAGCUCUCCCCCGUGUCCACCCAGAACAUCUUUGUGGAAGACAGUUGGUUGCCUCUCCUGUGGCCCCUCUUCCUCUUGGGUGCUGGUGUGUUUUGCUCCCUUUGAGAUCAGUUGCCUUAAAGUGCUCUGUUGCCCUCACACACUGGAAAUCACAGCACUUUCUCCAGAGGGACAGUUUUCUGUAGAACUGGCCAUUUUAAAUAGUAGCACAAGAUUGAAGAAAACACAUUUAAAUGUGGAAAGGCCAUUGACAGUAGCCGUAAGUGUAAAUUUUCUUUUUUUGGGCCCAUAUGUUGAACUGGUUUAAAAAGCCCCAGAUUCUUGUUUACUUAGUUGGAAAACACAUUAAGGAAUGAUUACAGGGGCCUCCAUUUAGGGGCGCUUGUUAAUUAUCUGCUUCCUGCAGAGAAAAGAUGAGGUUGGGUGGAGGAAGGGCAUAAAGGCAGAGAGAGAGAGAGGAAUCAACUGCAGGACCCCAGCCUGUAAUAGAGGUAAUGACCUGAAGUCCCCUCAUCACAGAGUCUACAUCCUGUUUUUCUGUCGAGUGAACUUAUCUUGAAAUCUGAGAUGCCCCUUCCCCUUUGUCCUUUUCAGACUCGCUGUCUGCUCUUUCCUUCUUUUUAGCUGCCUUGAGAGCACUGGACACAGUGCCAUUCUAUAGAGUUAAUUCUUAUGUCUCUUGCUUCCUUUCAAGAAAAAGAUCAGGGCUUGACAUUAUGACAGGUCUCCUCAAAGACCUGUGAGAGGGUAAAGUUCUUUAAAAUAUAAUCAUUUGCUUCUAGGCGAAUAGCAGCAAUUCUUGUUCCCAAACUUUAACCUUCCAACCAUUAAAUGUUAAAUGUAAAUAAGAUAAACCUUUAUAUUGCCUUAAAUACCUUCCUU
Molecule: long non-coding RNA, 2065 nt
Organism: Balaenoptera acutorostrata (minke whale)
Lineage: Eukaryota; Metazoa; Chordata; Mammalia; Artiodactyla; Balaenopteridae
Exons: 4
Source: RefSeq, a predicted model, not a curated record